GCAGCCAUGCCGCGUGAGUGAAGAAGGCCCUAGGGUUGUAAAGCUNUUUUACCCGCGAUGAUAAUGACAGUAGNGGGNGAAAAAGCCCCGGCUAACUUCGUGCCAGCAGCCGCGGUAAUACGAAGGGGGCGAGCGUUGUUCGGAAUUACUNGGUCGUAAAGCGUACGUGGGCGGUUUUGCAAGUUAGGCGUGAAAGCCCAGGGCUCAACCUUGCAAUUGCGUUUAAAACUGCAGAACUAGAAUCUCGGAGAGGAUAGCGGAAUUUCCAGUGUAGAGGUGAAAUUCGUAGAUAUUGGAAGGAACACCAGUUGCGUNNANGGCGGCUAUCUGGACGAGUAUUGACGCUGAGGUACUAAAGCGUGGGGAGCAAACAGGAUUAGAUACCCUGGUAGUCCACGCCGUAAACGAUGUAUGUUAUCUGUCGGGAUUUAAUCUCGGUGGCGAAGCUAACGCGAUAAACAUACCGCCUGGGGAGUACGGCCGCCUGGUUAAAACUCAAAGGAAUUGACGGCU
RNAcentral lists this ribosomal RNA (513 nucleotides) under uncultured marine bacterium. Its description in RNAcentral is "bacterial SSU rRNA". It matches the Rfam family "Bacterial small subunit ribosomal RNA", at positions 388 to 918 of the family's 1533-position model. The record is from RNAcentral.